Long non-coding RNA from Amphiprion ocellaris (clown anemonefish), 3293 nucleotides. The record is from Ensembl. NCBI's taxonomy places the organism in Eukaryota, Metazoa, Chordata, Actinopteri, Pomacentridae.
CAUUGGCUCUGAAGUCUCCAUGGCGCCUGAACAGAUGCUGUCUUUAUUAUAUAAUAAAAUCAUAUUAUGUAAAAGUAACAGUGUCAACGGACGUUUUCUUCAACAUCUGCACAUCCUUGAGGUCUAAGAGAAACUACGACAAAAAAGUGGCGACGAGGAUGGGAUCAGUUUGUGGUCUCCUUUGAGGUCACUGACAGCUCCAGCGCACUCUUCCACCGCUUCAGAGAAGGAGAGAGAGAAAAGGACCGGUCAGAGAGAAGAGACUGAGGAGAUGGAAUGCGUCUGAAUUCCGAUCUCCAAGAGGACAGAUGAGAGGACAGCUGAUGGUGCUCUACAUGAGCUGAGAUUGUGCGGAUGACAACAUGUGUGGCUCUGGUGUCCGACGUCAUCAAGGCUAGUGUGAUUUUAUCUACAAACUGUUUUUUGAUGUUGCUUUACUUAUGUACACACACAUAACCAUUUAUUGCUGAUAUUGCUGACACAUAUUUAGCUGGUUUUCGCAUAUAGGACCAUGGUGUUUCUUUUACAGCAGUGACACAGUUUUUUGAUUUGGGGUCAAUGAAGCACAUCAGUGUAUACAUAGAGGGGAUGGUUUGAUUAUUGGGGAGGAAGCUUGACAACAGACUGACCAUCUGAGGCAUUUAAUUGAUUAGUAGAUCAUUAUUGAUUUAGAGGAUUAUUAAACAUUUGUAGAGAGGUUGAUUUGGCUUAAAGGCUGUUGAGUGCAUGAUGUCAAAGAGGGACCGUAUAGUUAGGAGAGUGAUUACACCUGUUGAUGUAGUCCAAAAGAACAAUCCGCUUGUUGAAGGUAUUGCAGAGAUGUCGCGGAAGUGGAGCAAGCGGUGGCCUGAUUAUCGACCGACCUUGGCCAGUAGAGGGAACUUUCAGUCCUGAUGUGAUAGAAACAAUGCAGGUGUUGGUGUCCACCCAUAAGACAGGUCAGCAGAAAGGCUGCAAGUAGAGGUUCAGAGGAGAAUGCGAGGGCCUAUGUGUCGAGGGCUCAUCAGACGUGGAGAAAUGUCACAGGAAAUGACCCAGAAGUGAACCAGAUGGAGAAGUCGAUUCUGCGAAGUAAAAUACAGAGGGGGCUGCCCCUACUACCAGAAGUGGUUUCUCUGAGGAGCAUGACUAGAGCUGCCUACACAGAUCAUGUGGCUCAUCUGGUGGAGCUACACCGGAAGAAGGAGCGUGCCCAGAAACAGCAGGAUGAGGAGAUGCUUAGGAAACUACAUCAGAUGCAGCUGGUGGAAUCUAGGAGAGAGGUUUGUAGUGAGUAGUGGUUAUAGAAAUGAGUCUGAAUCCUGAGAGCAACAUACAUCUACAGCCAGUGAAACAGCCAGAGGAUUUUUAUUGUGUGAUAUACGAUUUGAGUAUAGAGUGCCUGAUUUUUCAGUAGAUUUUUCAGUAUUCCACUAAGUGUAGAGAAAUUACAUAGUUCUCAUAUUUGCAAUAAAUAUUGGAAGAUGUUUUGGAUACUCAGUCUGUUGCUAAGUUUUUGCUAAGUUUUUGUUAAGUUGGUUGUUAAGUUUGGUGUUGGGGUUUUUGUUCAGUGGGGCCAUAAGCAGGUAAAAGGGUAAAAUUAGUCCUACAUAAUUGAGUAUUGAACUGCAUUUGGGAGUUAUUUACCAUUCAUAAUGUCAAGGUGUUCGCUUAAAAAAAAAGAAAAAAGAAGAAAACAGAAGAAAUUAAUGGUAUGUUGAUAUCCUGCUCUGUUGAUAUCUGACAACACAGGGGUGUGAUUAGGUGAUGAGUGUCAUCCGAGUGAGCUGACUAAUUUACAUUUUCCAUAUCUGACUUCAUUGUAGUCUUCAUGUUUAUUUUUUGGGGUGUCACUUACAAUAGUGAUGUCCAAACUUUAAGGGGAGUAAAUUUGAUCAAAGGUGGGAUUGCACAAUGUCUGAUGAUAAUCUGAUGAUAAUCUGUUAAAGUGAAUUAUAAUAUAUGAUGAUGCAUGAUGUUGUUGGCUGCAAGAUACUGGUGGAUGAUUUGUUUCUUCCCAGAACACCAAGGGGAGAGAGUGGCUGUGGUGCAGAGAUCCCUACAGCCGAGUGGACUCAGAUGUUCACAUGUGGACAUUGAAAUGGACAAUGAGAAAGGAGGGAGAAUCCUGAAUGAGGACAUUGCAGUGAGAGCAUACUACGACACCAGAAGCUGCUGAAGAGCGACAGUUUGAUAUAUUGAUGUGUGUUUUCAUGUAUGCUUACAAUAUUGGAUGUUGUUUCAUCAUGUAUAAUCUGUUUUAUUACUAGAUGUUUACUCUUGCUUACCCUUCCCUACAUAGGGGGAUAUUUGAAUUAAUGAUAAUGCUAGUAUGUUUAGUUUGGGAGUUUCUAUAACUCUAUGAUUGAUGUGAAUUGUUUAUGAUAAGGGGUUUCAUUCAUUUGGAUGUUUUCUCCGAGAAGGUGAGUACAUUGGGAUCUCAGGUGUUUUCUUUUUUCGAUUGUUUAGGGACAGUGAUGUUAGGCAGGAGGAGGUCCAUUGAAGGGUGCAAUGGGUCGACCAGCCUGACUUUGGACAAUUUUUGAUUUUAUUUCUGUGAUUCCCAAAUGUAUUUGCUUCCACUUAUUUCACAGAAUCCUUUGAACCUCUUUUGUUAUUGGCUUGGAGUACCAUAUGUGGUCGCCUAGGGCAGAGAGACCGUGGGAGAAUUUUCCUGUCUUGAUUGUUCGAUGGAUAAUUUGGGAAAAAUAGCUGCCUGGCAGGUUUUUCGCUCUCACACUCCAUAGAUUUACUAUAUUGCUGAGCUUGUGCCAUGAUUAGCAUGGACAAGAAGAAAAAGUCAUAAACAUUCUGUGUGAGACUCUUAUGUAACUGAUAUUAUGAUAAUUAGCGAGACUAAUGUCUCGAAGUGGGGGAAAUAUGUAGUAUCUGAUCUGAGACAUGUAUUAGUUGAUAAGUUAGUAGAAUGGAAUCCGUUUUGUCUGUUCUAUUAGCUGACCAGCAACUUGUGGGAAAACAUAUGUUUCCUUUUUCCCUACGUAAACAGGUAGUCUCUGACAGGAGAUAUAGGUCUUUCUGGUUUGGUUCUGGGAAUGUUUAUGUUUAACAGGCUGAGGUAAUGUUUAUGCAGGGGUCCCCUGUCCAGAUAUUGAUGGAUGGCCCUAUAUAAUUGAGGGGUCUGGUUGACAGGGGGUAUCCUGUAUCCUGUUUUUACCAAGUUUUCUAACAGAGACUAGAUGUUGUGACCUCAUACGUCACCAACGGCCAAAUGACCAAAUGACCACCGGCCCUUUGCUCAAGUGGGAUUUUCACAUUGGCUCUGAAGUCUCCAUGGCGCCUGAACAGAUGCUGUC